CGCCCAGGGGGCGCUGCACCCGCGCCCGCCACCCAGCCGGCUGCACCUGGCUGUCGCCUGGCUGCAAAUUACAGACCCAGCUCGCCCCCGCGCACGCGCGCGUCUCGGGGCCUGCACCUGCCCGCUCCAUCCCGCAGGCCUAACGGGACCGCGCCUCAGGCCUCCGCUCCCGACACCCAGAGCCCAUGGGCACCUGCGGAGGCGCCUCCGUCGCCUCUGAAUCCAGAGCGCUUCUUCCUACCUUCCUGGCCUGCGGAGUCCAGGGUCAGCCCUGAUUUCACAGCCGCAACCCGAGCGGCCAAGCUGGGUUAACUUCGUCUCCAAGAUGAGGGCAAUACCUACCUUAUGGGAGCCGUCGUGCCCCUGAAGUGUUCUAAGGUACGUACAUGGCCAGGCACCUGCUCUCUGCUACGCACAAAACAGCUGAAAUCUGCUGCACCUCUUGGUCUCUCUUACCAGAUCAUAAAACCGUGGCUUGAGGAUUUUGAUGUCCAACAGAUUCUUUAACAUGUAAUAAAUGAAUGAACCUCACCAAGUUCCAUUGCUAUGGGAACGCAGCACCGAUGUUUCGAGACAAAAAUCACAAGAACCGCUGAUGGACCCCAGCUUUUAUUUAUUUGUUUGAGAGAAAGAGCACAGAGGGACAAGCAGACUCCCCACUGAGUACAGAGAGCCUGAGGCAGGGCUCCAUCCCAGGACCCGGAGAUCAGGACCGGAGCUAAAGUCAGAUGCAUAACCAACUGAGCCACCCAGAGAGAGACAAUGAGAGAGAGCAUGUGAGGGGAGAAGGUCAGAGGGAAAAGCAGACUCCCCAUGGAGCAGGGAGCCUGAUGCGGGGCUCGACCCCUGGACUCUCGGCAUCAUGACCUGAGCCAAAGGCAGUUGCUCAACCAACCGAGCCGCCCAGGUGCCCAAGGACAGCAUUCCGAAGGGGAAAAUGGAAGGCGUCCCAGAGGCGGAUGACAGUGAUGGUGUCACAACAGCAUCAAUGUACCUAAUGCCACUGAACACUGACAGUCAAAAAUGGUGACAAUGGGGACACCUGGGUGGCUCAAUGGGUUAAGCCUCUGCCUUCGGCUCAGGUCAUUAUCCCGGGGUCCUGGGAUCGAGCCCCUCAUUAGGCUCUCUGCUCCAAGGGGAGCCUGCCUCCCCUCUCUCUCUCUGCCUGCCUCUCUGCCUACUUGUGAUCUCUGUCUGUCAAAUAAAUAAAAUCUUUUUUUAAAAUGGUGACAAUGACAAAAAUUUAUGUUCUGUACAUUUUACCAUAACCUUUAAAAGUUGUGUUAAGUGGGCAUUUGGGGUUCUAGCUUUGGCCCUCUAAAACAAACACUAUGAAGUCUCUGGUGACUCAGGAUGUGGAGAAAGAGAUGCGGUUCGUUUAUGUGCUCGCGGAAGGGGGACACACACAACACUCAGCUCCAAGGGGAAAACACAAAUAACCAGGGCAAAUUUGUAUAGAAUUAAAAAAAAAAAAAAUCUGGAGGGGCGCCUGGGUGGCUCAGUCAGUUAAGCAUCUGCCUUCAGCUCAGGUCAUGAUCCCGGGGUCCUGGGAGCGAGCCCUGUGUCAGGCUCCCUGCUCAGUGGCGAGUCUGCUUCUACCUCUC
Mustela lutreola (European mink) is the source of this 1604-nucleotide long non-coding RNA. RefSeq lists it as uncharacterized. The transcript has 3 exons. Lineage: Eukaryota; Metazoa; Chordata; Mammalia; Carnivora; Mustelidae. The record is from RefSeq and is a predicted model, not a curated record.